Molecule: ribosomal RNA, 837 nt
Filed under: Arthrobacter sp. KAR66
Lineage: Bacteria; Bacillati; Actinomycetota; Actinomycetes; Micrococcales; Micrococcaceae
Description: bacterial SSU rRNA
Rfam family: Bacterial small subunit ribosomal RNA
Source: RNAcentral
GUGCUUAACACAUGCAAGUCGAACGAUGAUCCCAGCUUGCUGGGGGAUUAGUGGCGAACGGGUGAGUAACACGUGAGUAACCUGCCCUUAACUCUGGGAUAAGCCUGGGAAACUGGGUCUAAUACCGGAUAUGACUCCUCAUCGCAUGGUGGGGGGUGGAAAGCUUUAUUGUGGUUUUGGAUGGACUCGCGGCCUAUCAGCUUGUUGGUGAGGUAAUGGCUCACCAAGGCGACGACGGGUAGCCGGCCUGAGAGGGUGACCGGCCACACUGGGACUGAGACACGGCCCAGACUCCUACGGGAGGCAGCAGUGGGGAAUAUUGCACAAUGGGCGAAAGCCUGAUGCAGCGACGCCGCGUGAGGGAUGACGGCCUUCGGGUUGUAAACCUCUUUCAGUAGGGAAGAAGCGAAAGUGACGGUACCUGCAGAAGAAGCGCCGGCUAACUACGUGCCAGCAGCCGCGGUAAUACGUAGGGCGCAAGCGUUAUCCGGAAUUAUUGGGCGUAAAGAGCUCGUAGGCGGUUUGUCGCGUCUGCCGUGAAAGUCCGGGGCUCAACUCCGGAUCUGCGGUGGGUACGGGCAGACUAGAGUGAUGUAGGGGAGACUGGAAUUCCUGGUGUAGCGGUGAAAUGCGCAGAUAUCAGGAGGAACACCGAUGGCGAAGGCAGGUCUCUGGGCAUUAACUGACGCUGAGGAGCGAAAGCAUGGGGAGCGAACAGGAUUAGAUACCCUGGUAGUCCAUGCCGUAAACGUUGGGCACUAGGUGUGGGGGACAUUCCACGUUUUCCGCGCCGUAGCUAACGCAUUAAGUGCCCCGCCUGGGGAGUACGGCCGCAAG